UGGGUGAAAAAGGGGAUAUGUCCAGGUCCAGAGCUGAACUCGGACAACCCCUUUAAAACCCAUUUCAGCAAAUUCCAUGUUAGAAAAUACAGAAGCCAUUCGUUCCCUGGCAUAUUACGACCACCAUUCGGGUGUUACUGUAUUCAGGAGAAAAUUUAUAGCAAAUUGUGGGGGAACAUUCUGCCAUUAUCCUUUGUGAAAAAGAAAGUUUGGGCCUAAAGCAUCAUUUUCUUGUACAAAUUAUUAUUAUAAUUUUUUUUUUCAUUUUCACAGCCAAGUGUUAUAAAUUCUAUGAAACGCCUGUUGGUUCAAAUACAAAUUCCUUGGGUGAUGUAGUUUCCAAAAAUGUGGUCACUUUUUGGGAGUUUUCACUGUGAGGGUACCUCAGGGUCUCUUCCAGCAAAAUCUGCCCUAAAAAAUAAAAUUACAUUUCCAAAAUGAUGCACAAAAAGUAGAGAAUUGGUGAAUGUUAAUUAACAAGUAUUUUAUGAGGUUAUGAGGUCUUAAAAGCAGAGAGAUUAAUUUUUUUUUUUAUAAAUUAAGGUAAAACAUAUCGACUCAAAUUUACCAUUAACAUGGUGUACAAUGUGUCAUGAGAAAACAUUCUCAGAAUGGCUUGGAAAAGUAAAAGUAUUCCAAAGUUAUCACCACAUAAGGUGACACAUCAGAUUUGCAAAAUUAGGCUUAGUCAGGAAGGGCGCACAUGGCUUGGUCUGGAAGUGGUUGUCCAUCUGUAACAAUAACCACAGUUUUAUUGCUCUGUCUCUCUUGAUGUAUAAUCCCAUGUAUAAAUGUCUGUAACAUCUCUUAAGAGUUGUGCUUUCUCCCAGCCAUUCAUUUGUAUACUGAAGAGCGAACCUCUGUGCCCUGAAAGCUUAUAAGCAGAAUGUUUUUUUUUUUUUUGCUUGCCAAUAAGGUAUCACUGCUAUAAUUCCUUUUGUCUUUUUUACCACAAAAGUAUUUAACAUCACAUUGCCUCAGCUUUCAGAUUUUACAGAAACAUGUGACAGUAAGAUGACCAGAUGGUCAGAUUUCCUGGUGCAGUCUUGGUAGCCAAAAUCAGGAGUGGAUCAUAAAAGGAGAGAAACUAUAAGGUAAGCCCCUGGAGUGUCCUGCAAGGAAUUGUGAAGGGACGCAUGCCAAGGGUAGGAUGACUAGGAAAGGUUAAAAGGUGGAGUGAGUUGCACGUGUGUGAGGCAUGGUUACGGGAAAGGAGGAAUGUUCAAGGUGGGUAAGGAAGGCACACGAGGUGGCAGAGUAAAGAAGUAUUUGUUUUUGCUCGUUUCUAUAUGGCAUAGUUGGUGACACUUGGGCAGUGUUGCUCUUCUUGCAGCGCCGGGAGUAGGAGGGGUCUUGGGAAACAUCUGUUAUUGAUAGCCUGGAUAAAAAACGGGACAAGUUUGGGGGCUCAUGUUUAACUCCCCCAUUGUCACCGUCGAUAUUUUGAAGGUAGAGUAAUUUUCUUCAUCUAUAGUCAAUCACUACUUCUCGAAUGUCUUGCGGUAUAAGCUCCAAUUUACCCCUGCUUCCACUUUCCCUGUAGUCUAUCAGAAAGAGGGGGGCAGAGAUAGUGAAGUAGCGCCAACACCAAUAAAAGAUAAACAGGUUUAUUAUACUCACAAAGAUUAAUGAAAUCAAGAACGUAUCAAGUAUUAAAAAUCCACUUCAUCAGGGACAUAUACCUUUCCUCCAAUCAGGACUUCCCUUUUAUCCGCCCAGAAAGGUAUCUUUUUCUGUUUUUAUUAAUAUUAAAAGAUCACCAUUAAAAUAAUAUAAAACCAUCUAAUAUCCAUUAUUUUGCAGCUAUUUCCUUUUAAAGAGGACCUUUCACCGGUUCUGAGAUUAUAAUAUUAAUACCUGGCACUGUAGGGCAUGUUUAGGGGAUGCUAUAUCGCAAUUUUUUUUUUUUUUAGAUAUGCUGUGCCUUCCAUUCUCUUUUGCCGCCCUGUAUGCUAAUAAAUAGCAUUCAUACAGGUAAGAAGGAGACGGCCACAUUUCUCAGGGGGUGUCUCCUUCUCCCUGGCUGUAGCGCGGUCCAAUCACAGCAGACCGCGUCACAACCAUUGACAAAAAAAAGCUCACCUCCUCCCUGACUGUGACGCUCUCCGCUGUGAUUGGACAGCGCACAGCCAGGGAGAAGAAGAUGCCCACUAAGAAACACGUCCAUCUCCUCCUCUCUGUACUAAUGCAUGUGAGGGCUGCAAAACAGAACGGGGGCACAGUGGCUCAAUGGAGCAGCGUAUCUGAAAAAAUAUAGCGAUAUCACAUCCCCUAAACAUGCCAUACAGUGCCAGGUAUUAAUAUUGUAAUCUCGGAACUCCUUUAAACAUCAGAGGGGCUGCCUUGGUGAAAAUGUGGGUAUGUCCGGGUUCAGCUCUGAGACGAAAGCUGAGGCUGCUUUACAAUGUAUAAUAUCAUGCAGCUUGAGUUUGUCAUCAUACCUUGUUUUUGGUACAAAGUACUAAGUCACAUUGAUCACGUCAUCAAAUGUUUUCAACAUUUAUAAACUGCUUCUGUCACACCCGCUAUCCGCGGUCCUCUUACUACGGUGAUGUAUGGUCACAUCACUACUCCUCAGCAUGGUGGCCGCAUCGUGCACUCUAUUCUACAUAUGGGAUGCGCGAUGCGUUCCACCAUGCGUUCCACUACGGCCCCUCGUUUCCGGCCAUGUGAUCCAGAUAUCCGAUAUGCUUAGCCACAUAACGGUGGCCUUUAUUCAUUCUAUAAUCUUCUCUUUUUCUUAAAAACUUGUUAUAUCAAAUAAUUGUUCUAUUUAGAUUUUUAUGGAACUCUGGGCAUCAGUAGCCCUGACGGGUAUUUACCUCAUUUAAAUAUGGAAUGGAAUAAUUAUGACAAUCGGAUAUUACCAGGCUUUGUCUGGUGGAACGCAUAUGCGUUCCACCAGCCGAUCAUGUGACCUGCAUUUCCGGUUCCUGGCCACAAACGAUCCAAUACACUCCCUGAUUGCGGAUAGCAUCUUGCUGCACAGGUGAAUCGUAUGCAAACUUUAUAUGUUACCCUUUAUAAUAUGACACCCCAACACUUAGUCCUUUACCCCUGAGGAAGCCGGACUGCUCCGGCGAUACGCGUUGGGUGCGUUCUCAUUCUUACAGGUCCACUAUACCAGCGGUCUAUUUAGGUUUGACAUUUUUGUAUUCAGACUUUACUUUGGUUUGCUUGUAUCUUUAAUGGUCUUACCUCAUUUUAUAUUUGCUUAAUGCUUGUUAUUAUACAUCUACAUGCUGGUUUAUAAUAUACAUGCCUAAUUGCGGCAUUUAGUGGACCUGGUUGUGUCGGUCAUAUUCUUUGUACACCGCACUUUGUUCUAAUUGUAUACAAUUUUUAACUUGUAUUUGUUGGUGUGUUCAAUAAAUUUCAUAUUUUUGAUAACUUUGGAUUGUUGGAUGUGCAUAUAUGGGGUGGUUCUCAUGACUCUCUCUUGGGUCAGCUGAUAUUGUCUUAUGUCUUUUCACCACCCUUUGCACUCCAUAUUUUAUCAGGUGUGCCCCCUUAUUUGUGUAUCUCUCUGAAUUUCUUUGGGUGGAAUUGUAUUCUCCCGUUUCUGAGGGAGUGGCACCCCACCUGUGCAGCUUGUUCUUGUGUGUUGGUGUAGUUGUAUUUUUAUACUAUUAUGGCGGCCUCAUUGGAGGCUAGGGAAGCCAUGUGGAAUUCGCAGGUCACAGCCGUGUUUCAUGACACGGACAUGGAUGGUGGUGAUCACAGCAAUGAUUUUAGACAAUUGACUACGGAAUUGACAGACGCACAUAGGCUCUUCACCAGGGUGUGCUCAAUUGCCCCAAGGGGGCUUAGAAUACAGAAAUUUCCAGCCUGGGAGGUCACUCCCGAAUUUAAAUCUAAUUGGGAGUUGGGCCUCAUGCAGUGCUCCAAGAUUUUGAUGGGUAUGCUCAUAGAUCAUGAUAAAGAUCUACUGAAUGAUGUGAAAAGCAAAAUUAGGAAUUUAGAAGCAAGUCUGUCAAAAAUGGAUGAGGACAAGGUUUCAGCAUUUAAAGUCAAACUACAGUCCAACUUAGAGAGCUAUGAGAAGGAGAUUAUGACUGGAAAGAAAAAUAAGUUUCAGAGGGACAAAACAGACUUUGAAUGCAAACAGGCAUUCAAAUGGAGACAUACUGGCAAUUCACGCAGCAAUGGUCGAGGUCAUGUGAAUACCAAUAUUUUCAGUAAACGCAGUGAUAAUAUGACAUCUAAUCCCAUUGGCUCUAAUAGCAACACCAGUGAUGGUUUUUUACCGGAAACAAGCGACGAAGGCGUACUAGGCGAGGACUACGUAAAUCCCAGAAAGAGAACAUUUGUGCAGCAGAGAGGAAACAAUCAUUACCCUGCCACUCGCAAACGACGACCCCAACACUAACAGGAGCCUCCAUUUUGGAACUUCCAUUGGAUGAGGAUGGCCUGAGAAUUAUCAAUUUAUCAACAUACUCACUCACGCAAAUGGAGAGAUCUGUAUUGACAAUUAUGUUUUAGAGCACUUUAUGCUCAACCGUCUUUGGUACAACAGUUACCAGAGGAUGAAAGGGGUGUCUUUAUAGAUCUGAUGGAUUUAUUGAAAGAAAAUGAAGGUGAUACAGGUCAUGGUGGUAGAAAUCAGGAAACUCCAGGUGAAUACAAUCCAUAAGAAAAAUUUGACCAGAGCGGAAUUGGUGGCUAUCCAGAAUUUGCAGAAUAAUGCAGCUUUUAUCAUCAAGGAGGCCGAUAAGGGAGACCCCACUACGAUUUUUAAGAAAAAAUUUGAUGGACUUCUUAUGUCUGCCUGGCAAUUCAAUAUCAUUACCAAAAAAGAAAAAGAAUUUAUGGAAGUCAAAUUCCCCAUCACUCCAACUUUUUACAUGCUUCCAAAGGCCUUUGUUCUAGGUCUUCGGUCAUAUCUCAGAGACUCUGUGCAAUUGGUACAAUACCUACAGGAGAUACAUCUUCCUCCGGGCACAAUGAUACUCACAUGCGACGUGGAGUCCCUUUACUCGAACAUCUCGAAUAGCGAUGGUAUCCAAGCUACCCGAUACUUCCUUCAAAAAUCAACUUUUGGGGAUCCAGUGCAUCAUACAUUUUUGGGUCUCGGAUACCACUGCCGAUUUUCUGGAUAUUCGAUUGAAUCUUGAUGACCAGGGCAUCCGCACAUCGUUAUUUCGUAAGGAAACGGCGACUAAUAGCCUUUUACACUUUGAUAGCUUUCACCCGGCCCAUCUGCGAAAAGGGAUCCCCAAAGGACAAUUCUUGAGGUUGCGACGCAACUGUACCACUGUGCCUGAUUCUAAUGAAGCUGCGGGGGACCUGACAACCAGAUUUCGAACACGGGGUUACCCUAAGAAAGUCAUCUCAGGGGCAUUUGAAACGGCAAAGGUGGCGGACCGCUCGGAAUUGUUGAAACCGAAACCCAAGCCUCGGAGUACGCAAGUACAUCUCAUCACUAAAUAUAACAACCAAUGGCAUGAUCUAUAUACAAUAUUAAAACACACAUUGGCAUCUGUUGCUGGCUGACCCCAAAUUAAGUAGUCAUGUUAAGCCCAGGCCUAAGAUUAUCGCACGAAGAGCCCCGAACCUGCGAGAUAAAUUGGUAUCCAACUGCCAUUCCUUUGGGCCACUAUAUCAACUGUCGGUCCAGGAACGUAAUCUAUGCACUCAUUUGCAAUUGUGGAAAAAUUUACGUUGGUCAGACCAGUCAGGAGUUGCGGAAACGCAUUCAACAGCACCUAUCAAAUAUCGCUUUGGCUCGCCGGGAUCGGAUUCAAGCAAAGAAACCCUUGACACAGAACUUUUUCCUCUGAAAUUACAUCAUCCUUCCAUAAGGUUGGAGGUACGACGGAUAAACUGGUUUGGUUUGAUUGAAUGGAAUAUUCGGCCAGCCAAUACGUGGUUAAGAGGCGCAACCUUAGUUAAUUAUUUAUGUGUGUGCUGAUAUUGAACACGUAUCAUAGGGACAUAUAGACCUCAUUAUGGAUUGUUAUUGGGCAGGUUAAAUUGUUUCAUUAUAAUGUAUGUAAUAUAUUUUUUUUUUUUAUGCACUUAUCAUGUGUUAUUUAUUUAUUUAUUUCCUACAGGUCUUCCCUUUCCUUUUCUUUUCAUACACGGGCACGCACCCUUUCACUUCUGUCACUGCUUCCGUGUUCUCUUACACGGCUUACUCUUUCACAUGUAUUUUUAUGUCACAUUUUUAGGUUGGAUUUAUCUCCAGGAUCUUCAUUGCCUAGGGAUCACUAGUAUGCAACUAAUAACGAUAAGAAAAUCACAGCAUAAUUAUUAUCCUGUAGGAUUUCCCAAUUGGGUCAUUAUUAUUACUAUGUUAUUUUGUAGGUUGUGGAUAUUUUAAGAUUUUGUCCUUUAUUCAUCCACUAUGUAUAUGCCAUCGAAUGUGCCCAAUAUACAAUAUGGACUGAGGGUAUCAGAUUUCUGUUUACACUAUUUCCAUAUCCAUUUGUGUCCCACCACCUCUUCCUCCAUCUUUGGAUAUAUCCUUUUGUCCCUCAAUGUGUGGAGUGUACUGUGCGCUCCACGAUUCGGUGUGGAGCGCAUGAUGCGUUCCAGCAUGCGUUCCACUGCGGACCUGGGCUUCCGGCCAUGUGACUUACACAUCCGGAGCGCCUUGGCCGCUAAACUGCUUCUGUCACACCCGCUAUCCGCGGUCCUCUUACUACGGUGAUGUAUGGUCACAUCACUACUCCUCAGCAUGGUGGCCGCAUCGUGCACUCUAUUUUACAUAUGGGAUGCGCGAUGCGUUCCACCAUGCGUUCCACUACGGCCCCUCGUUUCCGGCCAUGUGAUCCAGAUAUCCGAUAUGCUUAGCCACAUAGCUGUGGCCUUUAUUCAUUCUAUAAUCUUCUCUUUUUCUUAAAAACUUGUUAUAUCAAAUAAUUGUUCUAUUUAGAUUUUUAUGGAACUCUGGGCAUCAGUAGCCCUGACGGGUAUUUACCUCAUUUAAAUAUGGAAUGGAAUAAUUAUGACAAUCGGAUAUUACCAGGCUUUGUCUGGUGGAACGCAUAUGCGUUCCACCAGCCGAUCAUGUGACCUGCAUUUCCGGUUCCUGGCCACAAACGAUCCAAUACACUCCCUGAUUGCGGAUAGCAUCUUGCUGCACAGGUGAAUCGUAUGCAAACUUUAUAUGUUACCCUUUAUAAUAUGACACCCCAACACUUGGUCCUUUACCCCUUAAGAAGCCUGACUGCUCCGGCGAUACACGUUGGGUGCGUUCUCAUUCUUACAGGUCCACUAUACCAGCGGUCUAUUUAGGUUUGACAUUUUUGUAUUCAGACUUUACUUUGGUUUGCUUGUAUCUUUAAUGGUCUUACCUCAUUUUAUAUUUUCUUAAUGCUUGUUAUAAUACAUCUACAUGCUGGUUUAUAAUAUACAUGCCUAAUUGCGGCAUUUAGUGGACCUGGUUGUGUCGGUCAUAUUCUUUGUACACUGCACUUUGUUCUAAUUGUAUACAAUU
Bufo gargarizans (Asiatic toad) is the source of this 7441-nucleotide RNA transcript. RefSeq lists it as uncharacterized. Lineage: Eukaryota; Metazoa; Chordata; Amphibia; Anura; Bufonidae. The record is from RefSeq and is a predicted model, not a curated record. The transcript is spliced from 7 exons.